UAUCACGUUUUUUUCAAAACGACAAAUAGGAAAAAAAAAAUGUGCU
Non-coding RNA from Picea glauca (white spruce), 46 nucleotides. NCBI's taxonomy places the organism in Eukaryota, Viridiplantae, Streptophyta, Pinopsida, Pinales, Pinaceae. The record is from Rfam.